Drosophila suzukii is the source of this 294-nucleotide non-coding RNA. NCBI's taxonomy places the organism in Eukaryota, Metazoa, Arthropoda, Insecta, Diptera, Drosophilidae. The record is from RefSeq and is a predicted model, not a curated record.
GCAAGUGCAAAUAUCAGUACAAUAAUGAAGCCACAGCUGUUGCUUGUAGUGGUCCUCCUUUGCCUGGUGGGAAUGGUCCCAUCGGCCAAACCGCCAAAGAAAAAUAUCGAGAUUUGGAUUAGGCCGAAACCCUACCCCGACAGACCACCACCACCUUAUUAGGAUCAGCACAUCCGCAGCUGUUCUUGUCACCGUGACAAAUGGUCUCAUCUUGAUUGGAGCAAAAGGGGUUCAAAUGAUGUAUAACUUACAACCACAUCAUCAUUGAGAAAUAAAUGGCCUAAAAAAUUUUAA